Molecule: non-coding RNA, 357 nt
Organism: Lonchura striata (white-rumped munia)
Lineage: Eukaryota; Metazoa; Chordata; Aves; Passeriformes; Estrildidae
Source: RefSeq, a predicted model, not a curated record
GCAGAAGAUAAUUGUCUCAAGAAGAUAAGAGCCUCUUGGGGAAGAAGGCCAUCAAACUGGCCAUCGGCUCCCUCAGCAUUUCCAUUGAGCAGAUUAAAAUGUGGAGGCAUAAGAAGGAACACCAACAUGGACAGAUAUUCUCCAGAAACUAUACAAUCCACGAAAGCUCCAGAUGCCCAGGUUCUACACAGGGCCUCUGCCAGGGAGUGAGGUGGAUCCAGAUGAGAAGAUAUUUCCUGGAAAUGUUUUAGUAUCUUGGAAUGAAGACCUGGUCUGAUUGCAUACCUGGAAGAGAGAGAUAACUAUUACUGACUGUUCUUUGGGAAUGCCUUUCUAAAGCUGAGGAUAGCUCCAGGC